Molecule: unclassified non-coding RNA, 327 nt
Filed under: Thermoactinomyces sp. DSM 45892
Lineage: Bacteria; Bacillati; Bacillota; Bacilli; Caryophanales; Thermoactinomycetaceae
Description: Long range pseudoknot
Source: RNAcentral
AUUGAAGAGAAUGAUGUGCAGACCAAAUUGAAGCAUGUUAUCAAGUUCUUGCAACAUGGCGACAAAGUGAAGCUAUCGAUUCGUUUCCGUGGUCGUCAGAUCACUCAUCAGGAGCUAGGCCGUAAGGUAUUGGAUCGUGUGGCUCAAGAAGUAAAAGAGAUCGCCGAUGUAGAGCGCCCAGCGAAGCUAGAGGGUCGUCAGAUGAUCAUGAUUCUAAACCCAAAACAACAAUCGUAAGGAGGACUCGCUCAUGCCAAAAAUGAAGACAAAAAAAGCAGCAGCAAAACGCUUUAAGAAAACGGGUACGGGCAAAGUAAAACGUAGCCA